This 222-nucleotide ribosomal RNA is filed under the name uncultured bacterium. Its description in RNAcentral is "partial 16S ribosomal RNA". It matches the Rfam family "Bacterial small subunit ribosomal RNA", at positions 109 to 334 of the family's 1533-position model. The record is from RNAcentral.
AGUAAUGUCUGGGAAACUGCCUGAUGGAGGGGGAUAACUACUGGAAACGGUAGCUAAUACCGCAUAAUGUCGCAAGACCAAAGAGGGGGACCUUCGGGCCUCUUGCCAUCGGAUGUGCCCAGAUGGGAUUAGCUAGUAGGUGGGGUAACGGCUCACCUAGGCGACGAUCCCUAGCUGGUCUGAGAGGAUGACCAGCCACACUGGAACUGAGACACGGUCCAG